CUUGUAUGCUAAUGAUGGAAAGGAAAAUGAAAAAUUGUAUCAAAUACUUACCGUAAUUUUCCUGUCUGUCAGUGGAACGCACAGCCCAGAUAGGAAAUAAUAUAAGUAAAAGACAGGAAGUGAUGUAAGGAGAAGACAGGAAGUGAUCUAAGGAGAAGCCAGGAAGUGAUGUUUUCUAUAAUUAAGUUUGGAGUGCCAAGCGGGUUGGGAACAAGUAGAGAGGAGACAUUGCUGGAACUGAUAGUAGAGGAGUCAUUUUCACAGGACAUCACCAAUCACAGUGCCUCCACCGUGACCUCACUACCUGACAACAGAAGUAACCAGUGCCAAGAAGAUUCCAGUAACUAAAAGGGCUCUUGACCUGCUGACAGGAGAGGUUCCUAUAAGGUGUCAGGAUGUCACUGUCUAUUUCUCCAU
Rana temporaria (common frog) is the source of this 417-nucleotide long non-coding RNA. RefSeq lists it as uncharacterized. NCBI's taxonomy places the organism in Eukaryota, Metazoa, Chordata, Amphibia, Anura, Ranidae. The transcript has 3 exons. The record is from RefSeq and is a predicted model, not a curated record.